This 253-nucleotide ribosomal RNA is filed under the name uncultured bacterium. RNAcentral describes it as "partial 16S ribosomal RNA". It matches the Rfam family "Bacterial small subunit ribosomal RNA", at positions 524 to 776 of the family's 1533-position model. The record is from RNAcentral.
GACGGAAGGUGCAAGCGUUGCUCGGAAUCACUGGGCGUAAAGGAUGCGUAGGCGGCCGCGCAAGUCUGGCGUGAAAGCCCCGGGCUCAGCCCGGGAAGGGCGCUCGAAACGGCGCGGCUCGAGUGCCGGAGGGGAGAGUGGAAUUCCUGGUGUAGCGGUGAAAUGCGUAGAUAUCAGGAGGAACACCAAUGGCGAAGGCAGCUCGCUGGGACGUGACUGACGCUGAGACGCGAAAGCGUGGGGAGCAAACAGG